CUUCUCCAUAUGAUGCCUGACAAGCUAGCUAGGAAAGCGCUGAAAAUAGCCCGUAUUAAUAUAUAGCCUUAGAAAUAAGGUUCAUGAAAUCAGUAACUUGCUAACAUCAGAUAGCAAUAAAAGGAUAAAACAUCUACAGAAGAGAUAAAUUCUUAUGGAUAAAUACUUAUGGGGGAGGUGUUGCUGUAUAUAAUCAGAACCAUAUCCCUGUAAUACUUAGAGAAGAUCUUAUGGGGGAGGUGUUGCUGUAUAUAUUCAGAGCCAUAUCCCUGUAAUACUUAGAGAAGAUCUUAUGGGGGAGGUGUUGCUGUAUAUAUUCAGAGCCAUAUCCCUGUAAUGCUUAUGGGGGAGGUGUUGCUGUAUAUAUUCAGAGCCAUAUCCCUGUAAUGCUUAUGGGGGAGGUGUUGCUGUAUAUAUUCAGAGCCAUAUCCCUGUAAUGCUUAUGGGGGAGGUGUUGCUGUAUAUAUCCAGAGCCAUA
Oncorhynchus tshawytscha (Chinook salmon) is the source of this 478-nucleotide long non-coding RNA. The record is from Ensembl. NCBI's taxonomy places the organism in Eukaryota, Metazoa, Chordata, Actinopteri, Salmoniformes, Salmonidae.